AUGUGAGUCAUAUGGGGAUUUUGUAAAAAUGUAGAUUCUGAUUCAGCAAAUCUGGGUGGGGCUUGAGAGUCUGAAUUUUGAACAAGUUUCCAGGUGAUCCUAAU
Molecule: microRNA precursor, 104 nt
Filed under: Marmota monax (woodchuck)
Lineage: Eukaryota; Metazoa; Chordata; Mammalia; Rodentia; Sciuridae
Source: RNAcentral